RNAcentral lists this ribosomal RNA (492 nucleotides) under uncultured bacterium. Its description in RNAcentral is "partial 16S ribosomal RNA". It matches the Rfam family "Bacterial small subunit ribosomal RNA", at positions 29 to 507 of the family's 1533-position model. The record is from RNAcentral.
AGUGAACGCUGGCGGUAGGCCUAACACAUGCAAGUCGAACGGCAGCACAGUAAGAGCUUGCUCUUACGGGUGGCGAGUGGCGGACGGGUGAGGAAUACAUUGGAAUCUACUUUUUCGUGGGGGAUAACGUAGGGAAACUUACGCUAAUACCGCAUACGACCUACGGGUGAAAGCAGGGGAUCUUCGGACCUUGCGCGAUUGAAUGAGCCGAUGUCGGAUUAGCUAGUUGGCGGGGUAAAGGCCCACCAAGGCGACGAUCCGUAGCUGGUCUGAGAGGAUGAUCAGCCACACUGGAACUGAGACACGGUCCAGACUCCUACGGGAGGCAGCAGUGGGGAAUAUUGGACAAUGGGCGCAAGCCUGAUCCAGCCAUACCGCGUGGGUGAAGAAGGCCUUCGGGUUGUAAAGCCCUCUUGUUGGGAAAGAAAAGCAGCAGGUUAAUACCCCGCUGUUCUGACGGUACCCAAAGAAUAAGCACCGGCUAACUUCGUG